GCAGCCAUUGCCGGUGCUGGGAGAGCGGGCAGGGGAUGGGCCUGGGUGAUUCGGCUGAAUCGAUUCAGGACAGUGAUUCAAGUCACCGAAUCGAAUCACUGUCUCCCAAAUCAGCCAAAUCCAAAGCAAGUACUAGCUGCUUCGCACAGACCUAUUAAACGUGAGCUUUGCAAUCUGCUCCUCCAUAAUACUUCUAACUAGUAUCCACUGACAAAAUCUCUGUUAAUGCUGAGUUCAGGUUUCCCACUGCUGCCUCGUGCCCUUGAGGAAAGUGGAACCUAAAAUUAAAUUUCAGAAAAACAGGUAUUAAAAAUUUGACCAUAGAUCUUUUGUUCUCCACACUCAGUCUUUGAAAUCCUUUGACCAGAUGACCCCAAAUUUGCACCACCAAACCCUAAUCUGAGCUACAGUGAGGCAAAGCAAUUUUCAAGACAAUCUGAGGAUAUACAUGGAUUUUAAAGGACUUUGAAAAACUGCCUGUUAAGCAAACCUAUGAGGGUAUUCAGCUUGGAGCCGGUGAGGAGGAUCCUCCACUAGAGCUGAUACUUCAUCUGAUUCUUGACGUCCGUGUUGACAUAUUUCUCCCAAGCCUUGAAACCUGAGUGAUAAGGCAGGCACAGGAGUGGAAUAACCCAAAGACUUUGUCUAAUCAGAGCAACAGCAGUGGCCUUGCUGAACUCUCAUGGUACAAUUAGAGCCUGUCUAUGGCUGAGGCACAAGCUUCUGGUGGAGGGAAGGACCAGGGCCCCCCACAGCUCAGGAACCAUUCGGCCUGCUGGAAGCUCGCUCCCUGGCUGCAGGCAAGCUCCAGCUCUGACAACAACAACAAAAGGAUUAGGGCCCUCACCGUAACAUGAUGGAAAAAUUGAAACUGUUUAGUUCCCAGGGUUUUAUUCUAUGGCCCACUGUUUCAACUUAGGGGACAUAAAAUAAAACCUGGGGGAUUAACCCCCGUCACAUGUACGAGAUCCCACAUUGAUUGCAAUAGGCUUUGCAUGAUGUAUCUGGGAAAUAAAGUCACAUGCCUAAUGUUCUUUCAGUGCUGCAGUCUCCUCAAAGAACCUAGAAUGAGACGAGACUUGCUCUGCACUGGGGCAUGUCCCAAAUACCCUUUUGCCAGCUCAUGUAAUGGGGGUCUGCUGCUUCCAUGUGUAAUAGAUAAAUGUGAGUGAGCGCAUCUACACAAGAUACUAAAUGUGCAGUAACAUGUCAAGUCAAAACCAGUGCUAAUACACUACUGUACAGUAGUAUUAGGCUACUGUACAGUAGCAUCACUAAAAAAGCAUGUGCCAGCGGUACUGUGGAGUAGUACAAUUCUGUGCUUGGUUAUCAAGUACUAAACUUAAUAUGCAGUAACUACGGCACCUUAAUGAACAUGUAGACAUGCCCAGUGCGUCCCAAUGAAAACUGGAGUAACUACUCUCAUGCUUAAAGCUAAUCUGGUGUAAAUCUGAAAGGGGACAGGGAGCACUGGAGUCUGGUAGUUGUCUGGCCAUUCUAUAGAUAGUUUGGAUGGAGUACUAGAGGUCUGACUCCGCAUUACUCCAUACCUUGUACAUUAGUUCCAAGUGAGGACAAAGCAGAUAUAAAACACUACCAUUCUGAUUCCAGUGUGUCCAAUUCUAAUUUUAUUGCAAGUUACACAGUAUUUGCUGCUUUCCUUAAUGGCCCAAAUCCUGGAGUCCUCUGAUUACAUCAGAAUCUCAGUUUUCUUUAUAAAGUAUUUCUAGUGCUUAUGGUUGUAGAAGAAAGUUUUAAAAUGUGAACCCUAAUGGCUCCAAAUCAAGAAGACAAGGGUGUUUAGUGAUUUUAGUCCCUUGAUUGUUAAGUGACUCAUGGGUUAUUUAGGGCAGAACUUAAGAUCUUUGAGAGCUUGCAUUUGGCAAUACUUUGCACUUGUUUUGCAUUGCCAUAACUGCACAAGAUGAAGGAAACUGAAGAACCAAAUCUCUAUUAUCCAAGUCCAUGUUUUUUGGUUUCCAUUUUUAUUUUCCCCCAGAACUGCUUAAUCAUUUUUUUAGGUAUAUUGUUUCUCAGCAAAACCCAGACCUGUAGUAUAUACAGUCAUGUCCUUCCAGAACAAGAUCUGAACUACAGAAAUGGACAUCCCAUUACAAAUAUAAACGCUACAUGUGUGUAUUGAUUGAUCCCUGAACUGACAUUCCAAUUUAUUUCCCACCAACAGGGUCAUUCAUUACAAAGGAAUAAGACUGUUAAAUGGAUGAUAAAGCACGUGCGCCAAUAAACCAGGCUGGUGGUUACUUUACUGUAUGUGUUUGAAAAAUAGGCCUGGUAAAUAAAUUCACUUGUGAAUAUAAGGGACCUUUAAAAAUGAAUAAAGGAAUGGUAAUGUCUUUAUUAUUAAA
Molecule: long non-coding RNA, 2366 nt
Organism: Alligator mississippiensis (American alligator)
Lineage: Eukaryota; Metazoa; Chordata; Crocodylia; Alligatoridae
Exons: 3
Source: RefSeq, a predicted model, not a curated record